Molecule: long non-coding RNA, 1118 nt
Filed under: Cyanistes caeruleus (blue tit)
Lineage: Eukaryota; Metazoa; Chordata; Aves; Passeriformes; Paridae
Description: lncRNA (ENSCCEG00000021089.1)
Source: RNAcentral
AGAAGCAAGAAUUGGUGGACUAUCCUCAACUGGGGCUCCCUAAAGAUCCUUGGGGUCAGAGCAGAUGUGGAUAUGCUGGUCUGAAGGUUCAUUCAAGCUGUUACAUGGCUCUAAAUGGUGGUGGGAAGAAAUCACUGCUAAACAUGUAAAGACCGAGAAAGGUGACUAGAAGAACAUUAUUUUCCUUUAACUCUUCUGUUAAUAGUCUGUUAUAAAGGAGUGGCUGGUAUGAGGCAGCAAUGAGUUAAAAACUACAACAAAAACUCUGGAUAGAUUAAAUUAUUCUGACACUCAUUAUAUUAAACAAUUAUUUACUAGUGGCACUAGAGAGAGUACAUGAAUUCUCUAGAUUGGAACAAAUGCAGUGAUGCAGUCCAGGCUAUUUUUAAGAGCAGAGCUUUGGACACAGUGUGCUGAAUCUGCUGUGUCCUGUCACUAUGUGCAACAUUUAAAGCUUUUAUAAACAGCCAUGUUUUUUCAGGAGUCAGACAUUAGGCAAGCACUCAGGCAGCAUCACAGAGGAGUGACUUAGCAGUGUCAUAAACAUUCGCAGAGAUCCAAGCAGGGCCUUGAGAUGGCUAAAUGUUUGGGAAAACAGAUUAUCUAGGGAGGACGGGUUGUUAUGGGACUUGGAAGGCUGCAUUGGCUGUGCCAGCAAUGUGUAGAAAGCAAAUUCUCUCGAGCUUCCAUUUUCCCGGAAUCCUUCAGAGGUCUGUGCCAUUCAAAAUAGCAGCAGUUUGCUGGAGCACCCUCUCAGCAAAGGGAGUGCAAUAAAAUAUAGCUAAGAAAACUACUUUCAGGAGGCUGAAAUCUGGAGGAGAUCAAAAUCUGGCUCAUUUGGCACAGGAAAGCCAAGAAACCAUGCAGGACUGGAAACUUCUAGUUGGUAAGACUGGUUAGAGUUAAAUCAAAGAGGAGUCUUUUACUCAAAGUCAUGCAAUUUAUUACUCCACUAUGGGUUCUCCAGAAGUAUAUAAUACCUUGCUGUAAUGGUAACUAGGAAAAUACUUUGAGGUUUUAAAGCAGGAUGUACAGUUCAUGCUGGUUACUGAGUGAUAAAUGAUACAGGCUGCACAGAACAACUAUACAAACACAGUAUUUCAGCUGGCACAGCAAAG